RNA transcript from Ceratina calcarata, 6811 nucleotides. It is a transcript of the gene named Synaptosomal-associated protein 25kDa, with no coding region annotated. The transcript is spliced from 8 exons. Lineage: Eukaryota; Metazoa; Arthropoda; Insecta; Hymenoptera; Apidae. The record is from RefSeq and is a predicted model, not a curated record.
CCGCCGGUGUGAAGCGAGCGCUGAUCGGUGCUGACGGCACUGACGCCAUGAUGCGCGGCCAUGUUGAAGUCGUCGAGGAACGGCAGCUGUUUCGUGUCGUAGUGAUCACCUGUUUUCUCGGGAAAACGACGCAUUUACGAAAUUUGGUGAUAAUUCAUCCACGUUACAUGGCAAGGCGUUGACCGGCGUUGAACGAGUACGAGCCUCUGAGGAAGGAGCUGCACCAGAUAGAGACGAGAAGCGGUCGACGAGGAAGAGCGGUCGUCGAAUCGAAGUAAUCGUCAGGCACCCGACAAGAUGCCUGCCCCAACGUCAGCACCGGCUCCGGCCCCCGCCGAGGGUGGCCCACCUCGCACGGAGUUGCAGGAAUUACAACUGAAGGCCGAUCAAACUACAGAUGAGUCCCUGGAAAGUACGAGGCGUAUGCUGGCCCUCUGCGAAGAGAGCCACGAGGUCGGGAUGAAAUCCCUCGUAAUGCUGGACGAGCAAGGCGAGCAACUGGACAGAAUCGAGGAGGGUAUGGACCAGAUCAACGCCGACAUGCGGGAAGCCGAGAAGAAUCUCACCGGAAUGGAAAAGUGCUGCGGUCUCUGCGUUCUUCCAUGCAACAAAGGCGCGAGCUUCAAGGAGGACGAGGGCACGUGGAAGGGCAACGACGACGGUAAGGUGGUCAACAACCAGCCCCAACGGGUGAUGGACGACCGCAACGGGCUCGGGCCACAGGGCGGCUACAUCGCGAAGAUCACGAACGACGCCCGCGAGGGCGAGAUGGAGGAGAACAUGGGUCAGGUGAACACGAUGAUCGGUAAUCUGAGAAACAUGGCCAUCGACAUGGGCAGUGAGCUGGAGAACCAGAACCGGCAGAUCGACAGGAUCAAUCGUAAGGGCGAGUCAAACGAAACGAGGAUAGCCGUGGCGAAUCAGCGUGCGCACGCCCUGCUCAAGUAAAAUGCGUCUCUCUGCCCACGUACCCGUCUCCUCAGAGCCCCCAGUAGUAGAAAAAAAAACCAAAAAAAAAAAAACCAAAAAAGAUCGUACAUGUAUGCACGGACACGUGUAUACGUGUGUCAGCUCCAAAAAAAAAAAUAUGUAUGUUGUACGCUCACACGCCCACGAACCCUUCUUCUGCCUUCUCGUCGUCGGUCGGACACCGCCAACCCGUCGACCCGACUCGUUGCCUCCAACUCGAUCCACCUGUUCGUGCUACAACGAAAAAUAUCAUCGAACCUUCCGGUUUACAUCGACUUAUACAUUACGUGUGUCUCCGCGUACUUGGCGCAGCCUCCCUCUUUUAUAUUGUAUUAACGCCGUUUAGUUGGUGUAAACCACCCCCUGUGACACCGCGUUCCGUCAUCAUGUUCUUGCCAGUUUGUCGUGUCCAGCUCGUUUCGAUGCUCACACAGGGCGAAUCGAACGAGACGAGGAUAAAGGUGGCCAACGAGCGAGCCCAUCAGCUACUCAAGUAAGGCCACUCUCGACCACCUGCACCCCGUCGGCCACCAACGGCACCAAAAUACGACCAUCGACACUGUAUCACGACCACCACUAUACCGACAACAACAAAAACAGUAACAAUUGAAACAGUGACUCCGAUAUCUACAAUAAAAUCCAAUACCACUUAUAGAUACUGCGACUCGUGCUCGCGGGUCCCCAUCUCAUUUAUUACGAUUCAUUCGAUCAUCGAAGAUCAGAGUUGACAGGUCCGGGUGAAAGAGGGAGGGACGCGAUUUCUUUUUCAUCCCCAACUUCUUCGCUCGUCCGUUUUGUUGCAUUUCAGUUCGCGAGUGUUUGUCAAUAAUCUCUGACAAUUGCAAUUUACCGAUCGUGAUCGAUCGUGAUCGAUCGAUCUUCGAGCUUCACGUUUUCCGAGAAAUAAAUACCAUUCGUAACUUCAAUUUUGAACAUGUCGCUUGCGCGUAAUACUUUUAUUAAUACACUUUCAAGUUUCGUUCCUCUUCUCUGAUCCACGAUCGGUUUCUAGAAAACGUGUACUUACGAAUCCCCAUCUUUAACCCUUUAGAGAGGGCAAAUUUUCGUCUGUAGAGUAUCUGAGACCAGCGGAUAGACGAGAGUAAAUAAAUAAUUAGUUUAUUAACGAGUAAAAAUAUCUAAGCGUAAACGAAGACGGUCAUUAGAAUAGUGACAGUCGAGUCAAUUCAGCGAAGCUCGAACAGACCGCCUGAGAAGAGCCGGUGAGAGGAGAGGCAGAGAGCGAGAGGAAAUCACGAUUUCUCUCCUCGAUCGCACGUUUACCCAAGUUCUUCCUCCCCUCGUGAUGUAACGUUUACACUUUUGACGAUUUAUCUAAAACAAGUUUCUAAAGUACGUAAGAAGAGCAUUAAAAUUAGGACAAGGACUAGACCUUGUCGAGUAUCGCCUGUCUAAGGGUUAAAGAUUAUUCAUCGUGCGGAAGACGAUAUAUAUAUAUAUAUAUCAGACUGCAGAUUUUUCCAAAUCCAAAUUCAAACGUUUCUCACGAUCGACGAACAUGAAAUCUAUAUCCUUCAAUUAUGUCUUUACGACUACGCACCGCAAGUGUCCAUUGUUUAAGAAGAGAAGAAACCGUUUCCGCGUGAAAAUCCGCAGUCUGCGUACCCUGUUGUCGUAUAAAAAGUGACACAACUGUUUCUGUCAGAUUUACCGUCGAGGAGAGUGACACUCGUCAGAGGUAUCGUUUUCUUAACUUCCUUUACUCGUUUCGAGUUGUGCCACUUUUCAAGGCAACGUUACAACGACACACGAGGAAACGAACAUCGUAGGGGCGCACACGUUCACACACACACACACAUACGCUAUAGUCCUCUACCCAACUAUUUUGCAAUAAAUACACACGCAGAUACACACAUAUAUAUACGUACAAAUAAUAGACACGAGUCAGAGAUAAAUGUACACGUGCGGAACGCAGACGGUACAGAGAUCAAAAAGAGAGUUUAGAGAGCGUAGAUCGCACAGCGUGUGGAAAUGGCACGCGUGAACGAUGCAUACGCACAGCGAGCCCCCGUAGGUAGAUACGUAUACGUACCACGUAAUUUGUUAUCACGAUUCUAGAGUUUUACGACCAACAGUAACGAGAGCAAAAAAAAGAGAGAGAGAGAGAGAGAGAGAAUAUAUUCCGUGUACAGUAGAUCGAUACUUUGGGCAGAACCCGCGAGGCGUGUAUGCGCGCGUUCCGAUGCGAAAUAGGGAAUCACGCGAUUGGGAUGCGUGCCCUUCGAUUCGGAGGGAUCCGGACGUCUCUUAGAUCUCGAAAAAUUCUAUGCCUUUGUUCGUAGUGGGUUCAGAACGAACCGUCGGUUCUCACGGUCGUGUACGUAAUCGUAAACGAUGACGAGAUUUCCGGAUACCGGCGAACGACGGUGCACGCGUUCUCAUGAUACGGGAUUGCGAGCGUAAAUAUCGUACGGAUCGAGGGAGCCUGAGAAACGAAGUAAAACGAGGAUUAGAUUCGACCCGACGAGAACCGUCGAGUUUAUCCGCUUAUCAUUUUUCUCGACGCGUACCACGUCGAACGAGGCAGCCGACAGAUAAAGUUCGGUCGUCGACGAGGAACCGCGGAACCGGAAGGGAACGCGACGAAGAAGAGGAACAGGAAGGAGGAGUAGAAAACCGCGCGCAGAGAGGGUGGAGAGCGAGGAAAGGGUCGAACAGAGAAGGUGGAAGGGAGACAAAGCGGAAGAGGAUCUGAUGAACCACGAACCACCGACGAAGAACAGGCGGACGACGUCAUGAAGAAGGAGAGGAGAGGGGUAUUGGAAGGGAACGGAACGAAGGUGUUUAAAUGUGUAGAUAGAAUUUUGUUCAUCGUUUUAUCUCUCGACUCACCGUAGAGCGUAGAUCGAUUCCGUUUCUAGCAGCCUCGCGCACGCUCGACACGUCGCGCCGGGGUUGUCACUGUAAGGUUCAACUCCAAGAGAAAGAGAAAAAAUUGAUGAAACGAAACCACGAGUCAGAUAGGCAGAGGAGCAAGACGAAGAUGACGAUAGGAAGAAGAUUGUACAUUAUUGUAUUUACACGAAGCGAAGUACCUCUACUAAACUUGUGUCGUACCAGCGAGCGAACGAGAGAGAGAAAGAGAGCGAGAGAAAGAGAGAACGAACGAGUAUAUUUAUCGUGGGAUUCCCACCCGCCCCGCCGUUUCGGUUUCCGUUUUCACGAUCCGCCGGUAUCCGCGUCGCUCUUUUCAUCCGAUCUGGAUCCUCGCGAUCCGCGCGCGCGGCUCGCGCUUUUAUUUCAUGCGUUUUUCCAUCGAUCGCGCCCGACCUUUCGUAAUUCCCAGCGAAAACCGCAAAGUGUAACUGUGAUCAAUAAUUUAUUAAUCCCUUGACGCUUGCCUCGUACGUAUAUGCGCCCCACGCAGUUGGAGCAUUAGCGACAGAGUCGAUUCACUACUUAUAUAGACGACGUUAAUUCGGUUUUCCGUCAUCUCCUCGAUUACCCACGUGAACCGUCUAUUUUUCCGGGUCAUCGAGGGAUCGAUUAAAAGAAAGAGAACGGAGGAAAGACGUGGCUACCGCGCGGAUUCUACUCGAAGAUAAGGAACGUUUCUCGAAGCAGCUGUCAGCCUUAACAGUAUUCACGUCACUUUACACUUACCUCUUUAGCUUUAAGAGAACGCAUACCGAGACAGAGUACGAGAGAGAAAGAGACACGUUGCCCCCCGCCCCACGUUUCCAAGCCCGAGUAGUAUCGAAAUUAUAAUGAUAUCUAUACAUAGCGAAGAGAGAAAGGAAGAGAGAAUGAACGCUGACGGAGUAUGAACAGAGAUUUUGAGACGCAAAUGUUCUUUUUGUAGAUCUCGUAUCGGUGAAGCGAGGACGAUACGUGUCUAUAAGUCUUAUUAAGAGAGACGACGAGUGAACGAUGAUUUUCGAUUAUUACACGUGUAAUUACGUAUCGUACGUGUAAACUUUUUUCUUGAAUUUACCACAUUAUUAACUGCAUAUAAAGUAUACAUAUAUACAUAUAUAAAUAUACGUACGCAAUGCAUUAUAUCGAUAUUGUAUAAAAUAUCGUAAAGGGUAACCGCCUUUGGAGUCGUGCGCCGCGUUCAAGAGUCGAGCACAAACAGAACAGAGAAAGGAAGUAUAUUACGCGUAGCUCCUUUCGAUUUCGCUUGUUGUACGCUUGCUUUGGUUUUCAUCAGACGAAUUAAGAAUGGUAGAAAUAUGUGAGAGAGAGAGAGGGAUGGCUCAUCAAAAUCCUUGGACGCUUCGCCGGACGAACGUGCUAAGAAGAAUGAAAGUGAGAGAGAGAGAGAAUAUUUAAUGAGCGAGGGAACAAAUGAAAAUGAAUGAGAGUGACAGAAAUAAAUAACGAUGAUUGUGAUUGUUGACUCGAGAUCGUUGGGCCUAUCGUAAUAAUUUACUUUGAAAGCAGGAGAAGAGAUAUACAAACGAUUAUAAAUAGAUAUAAAUACUAUGUAAUUGCAUAUACGUGCGUCGGAACGAGAGCGCGGUGAGCCCCUCUUCUUAGAAUAUUAGUAGUCCUUUAGAAAUAGGAAACGAAAAUAAGAGAGAGAGAAAGAGAGAGUGUAUGAGAGAGAGAUGGGUGCGAGAACAGGCAACCUUGUUUGCGAGCGGAUAAUACAUCGUUAUAUAAAAUAUUAAUGUAUACAUAUAUUAUAUGAUAACGGGAUCCAGCAAUAUUAUAUUGUUAUUUCGUCGUUACUAUUUAUCACCGCCUAUUCGAGGAAUUAUAUUACGUAUCUAUUUUACAAAGUUAAAACCGUUGUCCCUCGUUUCUCAACGAGUGACUGACUCAUAUCGAACCUGUCGAUGGGUCUUACGCGGCGAUAUCCGUCGAUUUAAAUACCUAUUGUCACAGACAAAUGUAUAGAGGAAAAAAACAGAACAUGAAUACAUGCAGAUUAUAAAUAGAUAGACGCGUAGAUAGAUCGAAUAGGAGAAAUUGAAAGAAGAACGUGACCGCGGAUAGGAAGUGGAAUGGUCCACGGUGUGAAUGGGACAUCGAGCGAACGACGAGGAGAAAUUAAAGUAGUGAUGAAUUUCGAUCAUAGAGGAUCGAGAGAAAGAAGAGCCGGAAACUGUUGAAAAUCGUUUGUCCACGUUUAUUCAUAGUUUACGGGUGCGUGAAACGUUUAAUGUCUAGCGAAAUGUUGGAAUUAUUACGACUUGCGAAUCGAAAGAUUCUUCCUAAAGACACGAAUUGAAGUCGCACGUAGAACUUCCGACUCUUUUUUUCUCGCGUAACGAGACGAGUGCGAUGCACGCCGAAAACGAGUUCGCAACGAUACCGCAGAACGCAUGACUGCGAUAGAAAGAAGGAAACAAAUGUUUAAAAAAACAAAUUGGGACCACCGUGCAGAAGUGCAAGGUGCUCCGACACGAAGACGGCCGGUACGUCGUGACACUAGUUCCACGUCGUCGUUCUCGACUGCGAACUCGCCCCGGUCGCGUUUCGACUUCUUCGAAGCGCAGAGAAAAUGUGAAAAUGAUACCGAGGAGGAGAGCAGUCGUGAACAUUUGAAAUGAGCAAAACGAAGAAAUAGAGCAGAGUAAAAUUAUUAAAGCUGGUUUGAACACGAGAGAGAGAGAGAGAGAGAGAGAGAGAGAGAGAAAAGUGUUGGGAGCAGUCAGACAAGAUAAAUACGUGAGGAAGAGAAUUGUAAAAAGCAGACAAAGCGAUGAUUAAACGAAAGAUUGAAUCAGCUUCUCUCUUUUUAGUACCAAUAUACAUAUUGUCGCUAGUUGUAUUACAGAGACGUAAGAAGUAUUCUUCGGCAGUACCAUUAUAACAAAUGCCUGUGUAUUUUACUUCUCGGCAAAUAAACCAUCGAGCAUUGUACUGGCAA